AUUGAACGCUGGCGGCAUGCCUUACACAUGCAAGUCGAGCGGCAGCGCGGGGGCAACCCUGGCGGCGAGCGGCGAACGGGUGAGUAAUGCAUCGGAACGUGUCCUCUUGUGGGGAUAACCAGUCGAAAGACUGGCUAAUACCGCAUGAGAUCGAGAGAUGAAAGCGGGGACCGCAAGGCCUCGCGCGAGAGGAGCGGCCGAUGCCGGAUUAGCAGUUGGCGGGUAAAGCCACCAAGGCGACGAUCCGUAGCUGGUCUGAGAGGACGACC
Molecule: ribosomal RNA, 269 nt
Filed under: uncultured bacterium
Lineage: Bacteria
Description: partial 16S ribosomal RNA
Rfam family: Bacterial small subunit ribosomal RNA
Source: RNAcentral